CGACGGGGUCUUAGUGCGGAAGUUUUCGGAUGGAAGGAUUAAGACUUAGUGGCGGACGGGUGAGUAACGCGUGGGUAACCUGCCCUGUACAGGGGGAUAACAGUUGGAAACGGCUGCUAAAACCGCAUAACAUGGAGAUACCGCAUGAUAUUUCCAUCAAAUAUUUAUAGGUACAGGAUGGGCCCGCGUCUGAUUAGCCAGUUGGCAGGGUAAUGGCCUACCAAAGCGACGAUCAGUAGCCGGCUUGAGAGAGUGACCGGCCACAUUGGGACUGAGACACGGCCCAAACUCCUACGGGAGGCAGCAGUGGGGGAUAUUGCACAAUGGGGGAAACCCUGAUGCAGCGACGCCGCGUGAGUGAAGAAGUAUUUCGGUAUGUAAAGCUCUAUCGGCAGGGAAGAAAAAGCGCGCGAGCGCCCUUGACAGUACCUGACUAAGAAGCCCCGGCUAACUACGUGCCAGCAGCCGCGGUAAUACGUAGGGGGCAAGCGUUAUCCGGAUUUACUGGGCGUAAAGGGAGCGUAGGCGGCCACGCAAGUCAGAAGCGAAAACCCGGGGCUCAACCCUGGGAGUGCUUUUGAAACUGUGCGGCUAGAGUGUCGGAGGGGUAAGUGGAAUUCCUAGUGUAGCGGUGAAAUGCGUAGAUAUUAGGAGGAACGCCAGUGGCGAAGGCGGCUUACUGGACGAUGACUGACGCUGAGGCUCGAAAGCGUGGGGAGCAAACAGGAUUAGAUACCCUGGUAGUCCACGCCGUAAGCGAUGAAUACUAGGUGUCGGGGGUCAUA
Molecule: ribosomal RNA, 785 nt
Filed under: uncultured bacterium
Lineage: Bacteria
Description: bacterial SSU rRNA
Rfam family: Bacterial small subunit ribosomal RNA
Source: RNAcentral